AUUUUGCAUCAGUGGAAUGUUUUCUUUUGUUUUUGCGUUGAUUUCACAUCUUUUAGAGAUAUGUUUUUGAGGUGAUUUCACCUCUGUGUUGAUUUUGUGCCAUUUUUGGGAGAUUUCUUGUGUUGAUUUUUAGUUUUUUGUGAUGAUUUCUUGUCUUUGUACUGAUUUUUUGACUUUUUGUGAUUAUUUUGUGUCUGUAAAAUCAAUUUUGUCUGGAAAAGCAACACAUAAAGGUGAGAAAUCAACCACAAAGAGACACAAAACAACCACAAAAAGACACAAAACCAUCACAAAAUGACAACAAAAAGACAGAAAAUGAAUGAAGGUCUUGUAAUUCUUAGCUAAGCUAAGCUAUUAAUUUAUUAUUCAUUUUACGGAUUUGUUUUUCUUCUGUGACUCCUUAAAUCAGAAGCCAAACUGACGUCAGUACGGUAGAAUAAUACAGAGACGUUUUCACUCAGACUCUGCAGAAUAAACUCUUCAGUUUUCUCAGAUUGUCUGAUUUCUGCUGCUUUGUUCUGCCUGCAGGAUUCAUCUUCAUCCUGCUGCUCAGCUUCUCUGUUCGUCUCUUUUCCAGAGAAGCCCUCAGAGCUUCCCCGGCUGCAGCUGCUUCAUCUCCUGGUUGUCGAACACGGUGUUGCCCGAGGCGUCGGCUUCCUCCGGCGUCCCGCGGCGAUCGCACAUCUUCUUCACCUGCAGAGCCUCAUGACUGUUUCAUGACCGAACUGCCGGCCGAACGGCGUCGACGUUUCAGGAACAAGACGGUCCAUCGAUCGCAGCGGCAGAAAAUCAAAGCGGCGUCGCUAUCAGCUGAUCACCUCCAGGCUUCGCUGCGUUUCAUGUUCAGACGUUCAUCAGAGAUUCUCCUUCACCAUUUGCUCAAGGACACGUCAAGAACUGACACUGAGAUCCUCUACUUCAGUCAGAAAAUCAAACAAACAGCGAGAACACGGUGAAGACGGCGUCCUUGAAUUCAACAAUACAGUCACUUUGGCAGUGUGUUCAAGGGCACGUCGAGAACUGACACAAGCGCUGCAAUAAAGCCUCGUCAGAAAAUCAAACCCGGGAGCCGGACGACGACAGGUGAUACCGGACGGCUAAUCUAAGGCAGUGUGCUGAAACCCAGAGCUGUGGUGUUGGAGACAGAUGAUAUAAACUCUGAAAACACCACUGCUGGAAGUGUCCGUGAUGAAAUGGAUUUCGACGCUUCAGGAAAAUAAAAACAAGAUUCCAGUGAGUGAAAAGACGCCUGAAUGUGUCCAACAGGUGUUACUUUAAACGCCUGCACCGACCUGAACAGGUACGUUUGAAUUUACAGGCAAUCGAAUGGAAGAAGGAUGUUUGUUUUGUGGUGUCGAGUGCCGUUCAAAAAUCAAAUUUUUUAAAAAUGUUUUUGCCAGUUUUAGACACAUCUGGUGCCAGAAAGUGUCUGUUUUUAUGACAAAAUCUUCUCGUUGCUCAGUUUCUCAGCUUUUUAUUUAGUUUAUUAAUAUUCUGUCAACAGACAAAGUCAUUGAUUAAUAAAUUAAAUUAAAUUAAUAAAACUUACAUUUUAUAAGAUCUUCAUGUGUUUUAUAUGUAAAAUCUAGUAGCUGUAGCUGCUUUAAAAAGUGAGCUAAACUGGGUUAAAAAAUAUGCUUCACAUCAUGAUGCUGCCACCACCAUGCUUCAUAUCAUGAUGAUGCUGCCACCACCGUGCUUCACAUCAUGAUGCUGCCACCACCAUGCUUCACAUCAUGAUGCUGCCACCACCGUGCUUCACAUCAUGAUGCUGCCACCACCGUGCUUCACAUCAUGAUGCUGCCACCACCGUGCUUCACAUCAUGAUGCUGCCACCACUGUGCUUCACAUCAUGAUGCUGCCACCACCAUGCUUCUCUUCAUGAUGCUUCCACCACCAUGCUUCACAUCAUGAUCCAAUUUAACAUGUAAAUUAAUAAGUUUUUCUGUUAUUUUACUAGAUGUUAUUUGUAUUUAACAAAACAAGUAAAAUCUGUAAAAUCACAAUAUUUUUUCUUGAUUUAAACGCAGGAAAAAUAGUAACAUUUUAUGAGUGAAUAGUGUUUUAAAAAAUUAACAUUUAUAAAAACUACGGAUUUUCUUUUAUGUGGAUAUUAUUUUCAGUAUGUUUUUAAU
Long non-coding RNA from Amphiprion ocellaris (clown anemonefish), 2135 nucleotides. RefSeq lists it as uncharacterized. The transcript has 5 exons. NCBI's taxonomy places the organism in Eukaryota, Metazoa, Chordata, Actinopteri, Pomacentridae. The record is from RefSeq and is a predicted model, not a curated record.